RNAcentral lists this ribosomal RNA (230 nucleotides) under uncultured bacterium. RNAcentral's name for it is "partial 16S ribosomal RNA". It matches the Rfam family "Bacterial small subunit ribosomal RNA", at positions 99 to 334 of the family's 1533-position model. The record is from RNAcentral.
CGGGCGGGUGAGUAAUGUCUGGGAAACUGCCUGAUGGAGGGGGAUAACUACUGGAAACGGUAGCUAAUACCGCAUAACGUCGCAAGACCAAAGAGGGGGACCUUGGGCCUCUUGCCAUCGGAUGUGCCCAGAUGGGAUUAGCUAGUAGGUGGGGUAAGGCUCACCUAGGCGACGAUCCCUAGCUGGUCUGAGAGGAUGACCAGCCACACUGGAACUGAGACACGGUCCAG